CAAUAGCGUAUAUUAAAGUUGUUGCAGUUAGAACGCUCGUAGUCGGAUUUCGGGGCGUUCCGACCGGUCUGCCGAUGGGUAUGCACUGGCCGGAGUGUCCUUUUUGCCGGAGACCGUGCCUACUCUUAACUGAGCGGGGGCGGGAGACGGCACUUUUACUUUGAAAAAAUCAGAGUGUUUCAAGCAGGCAGCUCGCUCUUGCAUGGAUUAGCAUGGGAUAAUGAAAUAGGACUUUGGUGCUAUUUUGUUGGUUUCGAACACCGAAGUAAUGAUUAAAAGGGACAGUCAGGGGCACUCGUAUUCCGCCGAGAGAGGUGAAAUUCUCAGACCAGCGGAAGACGAACCACUGCGAAAGCAUUUGCCAGGGAUGUUUUCACUGA
Molecule: ribosomal RNA, 380 nt
Filed under: uncultured eukaryote
Lineage: Eukaryota
Description: partial 18S ribosomal RNA
Rfam family: Eukaryotic small subunit ribosomal RNA
Source: RNAcentral